GAGUUCCAGGCUGCUAAGGAUGCUUACCAACAAGCUAGUGUAGAAUGCGGUAUGCACAAGGAUCUUGUGAUGCGUUACAUUGAAUACCAAGCCUUGUUGAUUGCUUAAGGCGAAGGCUUCUUUCUAACUAAACACUGACGCUGAGGUACGAAAGUAUGGGGAGCAAAACGGAUUAGAGACCCGUGUAGUCCAUACCGUAAACGAUGAGURCMUUAGAUUCGUUUUUAAUGAGUCUAUAAAUGUAGAUUAAAGCACUCC
This 258-nucleotide non-coding RNA is filed under the name Choanephora cucurbitarum. RNAcentral's name for it is "Choanephora infundibulifera f. cucurbitarum Bacterial small subunit ribosomal RNA". It matches the Rfam family "Bacterial small subunit ribosomal RNA", at positions 611 to 870 of the family's 1533-position model. Lineage: Eukaryota; Fungi; Mucoromycota; Mucoromycetes; Mucorales; Choanephoraceae. The record is from Rfam by way of RNAcentral.